Molecule: long non-coding RNA, 4489 nt
Filed under: Sus scrofa (pig)
Lineage: Eukaryota; Metazoa; Chordata; Mammalia; Artiodactyla; Suidae
Description: lncRNA (ENSSSCG00000057939.1)
Source: RNAcentral
CUUGGAGAAAGGGAAAACAAAGGGACACAUUAAAUCAAUCAAAAUGCUGCCUUAAAACUUUCACAGCUUCCUUGCACUUAGCAAUUCUGGGGCUUCAGCCACCAAACAGGUUUUAUUUAAAAAACGAGUGUCCUCAAUUUCCUGCAGUUUGCGUUCCAGGCCCAUCCUCGCUGCCUGCCUUCCCUGCGCACAAGCCGAAGCCCAGGCGAGGGGCAGCAAGCGCGCACAUUCUCUCAGUCGUUCUCUACCACUUCCGUACCCAAGACGUAGGGCGAAAUCUGGUGUCCAGGUCAACCCCUGAAACGGCAAGACGAUCAUUCUCAGACUAAGCUUCCGGAUGCUAGGACCACCAAGAACCCCGAGGCAGAGCCCCCUGCCUCCAAGGCUGACACUCGGGCUGCAGAGACGGAGGGAUACAUUCCAAAGGAAGAGAAAAUGGACUAGGCGCCAAAAGCCUGCAGGGCUGCAGGGCUCCCCAGAGGUGCAAGUUGUCAAGAGUGAGGGCAAAGCAAACCUGAGCUCGAGCAGAGGCAGCUUCCAGAAGACGGGACGUCAAGCCCCAAGGAAACGCACAGGGGAGAAGCGCUGAGACUCAAGAAGGACCCCGGACGGUGCACGAGGGGUGAGAGCACUGGCUCUUAAAUGCCCCCCCCACCCUUCUCCAAAGAAAUGAGGAAAAUCAGACAACGUGCUGAGGUUCUCACGGUGCUCAACGCAUUGUUUUUUUAGGUUAAAACGUCCUCCUUUUAGAUGAAAUGAUCAAGACAGGAGAUGGUUGGGACUGGUUUUUAAUGCCCUUGCUUGGCAAAUGGAAAAGUCGGCGACUCCAUGUGUCACUGCCCAAGACUGGCCUUAGGUCUCGGCCAUGCAAGCUGAGUCCUUGGGAGCCAUCAGACAACACCAGGCGCUGGGCGAAGGGGCCGGAGUGGAGUGGCAGGACUGGCAGAGAUGGGCCGGCGAAACGAUGCCGGGGUCAAGGCUCCAUCUCAGAGGGACGAACUUUACCCUAUGGCUGUGGGAACCCACAGCCCCCCUUUGAAAAAAACUCUGCGAUGAAAUAACCUUAACCAUAUUUUUUAAAACUCUUGGCAGCAGUUUUAAAAAAUCGAUGAUUAGAGGCAUAUAACCCACGCAGGAGGCUACUGCAGUGCAGUCUCAGGGCCCGAGACGAGCCGCGUGGAGGUCAGGAAGACACCUCCCAGGGCCCAACCUGGCUGCGAGCAGCGAGGGCGAAGGUCAGGGAGGUGCUGGGCUUCCCGCUCGGGCCAGAGAGCGGGCCGGGGAGGCGGGUCACUGCGAUGCCGGAAAAACUCCCAGUACAGGAGAGAACAAAGAGAAUCCAGCAGGAAGGGACUGGUUACUGAGUAGCAGGAUUAAGCAAGGAGUUCUGUUUAAAAAAAAACAAAGACUGUCCCUGGCCAGAAAGGAGCAGAUGGGAAAAAGGAGAAGGUUCUGGAGGAGUGGGAAAGGCAGACCGGGCGCCCGCCAGGCACAGGAAGAUGAAACACUUGUGGUUGAACGGAAUACAUAACAUAUGUAGCCAUAUAAAUGUACGUAUUCAUUGUCAAAUUGGCCGCUGAUGCGGGGGAAAGAGCUUGAAAAGCCUUCACGUAGAGGUUACAAGUCUACACAAAACUUCACCAAAUACAAAACAAGAGAAAAACAAAACCCAUCUUUCUCUCUCUUUCAAAGAGCCUCCCUAUAAAACAAACACGUCAGAUGCUGGGUAAAACAUUUUACUGAAUCAACGUGGUUUAGAGCAGCACCGUCCAGUUCAAAGCUGGCCAUGCCCAAGGCAUGCAGAAAGUUCCCAGGCCGGAGAUCAAACCCUCACCACAGCAGUGACCCAAGCCGCUGCAGUGACCAUGCCAGAUCCUUAACCCGCUGCACAACCAGGGAACUCCAGAGGCUAAUGUAACUAGGGAACUAAAUUUUAAAAGGUUAUUUAAGUGGGAGUUCCUGUCGUGGUGCAGUGGUUAACGAAUCCAACUAGGAACCAUGAGGUUGUGGGUUCGAUCCCUGGCCUUGCUCCGUGGGUUAAGGAUCCAGCGUUGCUGUGAGCUGUGGUGUAGGUUGCAGACGCAGCUCGAAUUCUGCGUUGCUGUGGCUCUGGCGUAGGUCAGCAGCUACAGCUCCGAUUUGACCCCUAGCUUGGGAACCUCCAUAUGCCACGAGAGCGGCCCAAGAAAUGGCAAAAAGACCAAAAUAAAUAAAUAAAUAAAUAAAUGGUUAUUUAAGUUAAAUUUAAGCAGCCCCAUGUGGCUAGCAGGCUGCUGUAUUGGACAGCGUAGGUCUAUGGUAUUUUUUUCUCUAGUAAUCUUGAUGCAUAAAUUUUUUUAGGGCCGCACCCGAGGCAUAUGGAGGUUUCCAGGCUAGGGGUCCAAUUGGAGCUACAGCUGUCGGCCCACACCACAGCCACAGCAACGCCAGAUCCAAGCCGUGUCUGUGAGCUACACAGCAGCUCAGGGCAACAGCUCAUGGCUGGCUCAUGGCCGGAUCCCUAACCCACUGAGCGAGGCCAGGGAUCAAACCCGCAACCUCAUGGUUCCUGGUCGGAUGGUUUCCGCUGCGCCACAACGGGAACUCGGAGAAUCCAAAAUUUGAUCAGAUUUUCAAACCUUCCCUUUUCUUGCGAGGAUAAGCUGAACCACGUAAUUCACGUCGGAUACAUGGCCAUCAUUCAGCAAAUGUUAGAGCAGUCAACUCCCCUGCCCCCGCCCCCCGCCGCGCCCCAUGCCUGCUGUGAACAGUUAUAAUUUGAGGACAGAACUCCUCCCACAGAAAGGAGGGUCAGGAGCGCCAUCGCUCCAAGCGUCUGUCUGUGUCACGGUGUUUACGUGGUUUAAUCCAGAAAUAACUCAGGGAUCCAAGGAGCUUCCUGAUGCCGUUAGGCUGAAACCGAGUACAUCAGGUCACCAUCUCGAGGCCGCCAAAGGCACUGAGGGGGUUUUCUGUAAGAUCCGUGGGUACAGGUGCGAAUGCGGCCCGAGCACUACCCAUUCCUGGGACUCUGAAAGGGGUCCCAGAAUAGGGGGUGGCCUCUCAUGGAGGGUAUUUGUUUUGCAAGUAACCAAAGGGAAUGGGGGCGUCAGUGAGCUUUUUAAAUAGAAACCAAGAAUUAAAACUGAGUCCCUCUGUGCACCAAAAUGUCCUUGCUUAAAUUGCAAGGCGUAAGUAAAAUAAAUUGGCUAUAAAAGGGAGGAUUAUAUCAACUGUAAAAUUCGACCCGGGGACUAGGAAAAGUGACUGUGAUUAAAAGGUGUGUGUGGUGGGGGUGGCUUGAUCCUUGUUUUCUCAUGUGUCCUUUGAAGGUGAAAACGAACCAAUUUUCUCUGGCCUUCAAGCUGUCAAAGAGGUUGAAAAAAAAAACAAAACCUGUCUGAAAAAUAAACAAAUGGGACCUGCAAUCUCCCUUCAGGAGAUGGGGAGAAAAUACUCCAUCUAAAGCCCUUAAGUAUUUCCUGGUGACUUUACCUCAAUUAGUAACUAUCCACUAGCUAUGAGACUGGGGGUAGGGGUGACAGGUGGGUGCCAGAGGUGUUCCCGAUCACCAGCUAGGUGAGAAGAAAGAAGAAAACGUGAGACGCUAAGAGAAUUCAGUGUUGACUGUGCAAGACAAUUUUACGGCCAGAAAACCCACUAGCAUGUGCUAAGUGGAGGGGCCUCCAAGGUGGAAGAGGCUGGUGGGGCUGAGGCCAGAAAGGACCACGAGGAGGCCGGAGCCCGUCCUGCUUUGUGGGAGCCAGGAGCGGGCGGGGGGCGGGGAGUGGGGUGGGCAGGAGGGGGUGUGGGCUCCGGGCGGGCGUGAGGAUGACGUCAGCUUUGAGGAAACCUGUUUGAACAUGGUAUGGGGCGGCAGGGGAGGGAGGCCAGGCUCGAAAUGGGAACAAAGGGAACAGAGGGAAAGAUAAACCUGAAAGCCUCUCAAAGAACUGCAGAGACCUGGGGGUGGCGGGUAACACUGCAGAGCAGAGAGCUGAGCAGGAAGUCACUCUGGCCACAAGCUCCACUGCCCGGGGCACCAGCGCGGGGAUGGGAAGAGGUUUUCGACUGUUAAGGUGGUACACUCGGCAAGUGCAGAGAUGGAGUGGGGUGAGAAGGGAAGGUCUCGGGACGAGGGGACCGGGGUACGGGGAGCAAUCAGGCUCAUGAGUGCAGGUGGGCUAGAACCCGCCCUGGGGCGGGGGUGGGGGCCGAGAUUCAGAGACAAGAGGGUCCAGAAGAGUGCCCAUUCUGAGCCGCAGACACAGGAACAAAGGCUGGCGGGCACGAGGUCCCCAGGAAGGGGGAGGACCCGGUAUCCUAAUAGAUGGGAAAACAUGAGCAACAAGGGGGCAUAAAGCGCUUCUGAGUCCGAAAGAUGCAAGAAUCAGGAAAACACCUGGGGGAGCUGAAGGCAGCUCACAGUGGAAUGGCCUUAACCUUGAGCACACAGUAGGCACUUAACUAUCCUACCGAUUAGCAAUCUCAAAACAGGCAACAGGUCGUA